Molecule: non-coding RNA, 479 nt
Organism: Plectropomus leopardus (leopard coralgrouper)
Lineage: Eukaryota; Metazoa; Chordata; Actinopteri; Perciformes; Serranidae
Source: RefSeq, a predicted model, not a curated record
AGGACAGUUCAGACGAUGAUGAGCCGCUCAUCAAGAUGAUCAAGAAAGGUCCGAGUGACGAGCAGCUGAGGGAGACGGUGCAGAGUCUCCUGAAGGAGGCCGACCUGGAGGAGAUGACCAUGAAGCAGAUCUGCCAGAGGGUGUUUGACACGUACCCGGAGCAGGACCUGAGCAGUAAGAAGGACUUCAUCAAACAGACGGUCAAAUCUCUCAUCACAUGAAGGUCUGAAGCUGGAAGAGUCAGAACGUCACGCAACGACAAAAAGCUCCUUUUACUUUUCAAAACUUUCAUAUCACUUUGUUUUCAUACUCGACAGUUUUCUACAUGAUUGUGUUUUUUAUGAGUGAGUGACUCGUGAGUCACUCGUGUGUGACCUGUGAGUGACUGGUGAGUAACUCUUUAGUGACUCGGUGUGUUAUUCUUGAGUGACUUGGUGUGUGUGACUCGUGAGUGAGUUGUGACUCGGUGUGUGACUCGU